UACGAUUUGCUGCUAACUAUUAGCGACUACGAACGGGUUCUAAACGUAGGAACGCUACGUUGUAGUCUGCAAUACCUCCGUGAAUGAACGGGAUGCUGCGACACUCGGGGUUUUUCCCAACUCAAGAUCGGUUCUCUUCUGCCUCACAACCUGCACGCUUGUUCAAUAAAGUUCGUGGGGAGACGUGGUCAUCGGCAGGGGCGUUUCUGUUCAGGAACCUGACCACGGUCAGCAGGACAGGAGAACAGCAGGCUUGUAAGCCGGAAACUCACGUCAGCCUACAAGGUGAGCAA
Long non-coding RNA from Anguilla anguilla (European eel), 293 nucleotides. RefSeq lists it as uncharacterized. The transcript has 3 exons. Lineage: Eukaryota; Metazoa; Chordata; Actinopteri; Anguilliformes; Anguillidae. The record is from RefSeq and is a predicted model, not a curated record.